AGCGAACGCUGGCGGCAGGCUUAACACAUGCAAGUCGAGCGGGCAUAGCAAUAUGUCAGCGGCAGACGGGUGAGUAACGCGUGGGAACGUACCUUUUGGUUCGGAACAACACAGGGAAACUUGUGCUAAUACCGGAUAAGCCCUUACGGGGAAAGAUUUAUCGCCGAAAGAUCGGCCCGCGUCUGAUUAGCUAGUUGGUGAGGUAAUGGCUCACCAAGGCGACGAUCAGUAGCUGGCCUGAGAGGAUGAUCAGCCACAUUGGGACUGAGACACGGCCCAAACUCCUACGGGAAGCAGCAGUGGGGAAUAUUGGACAAUGGGCGCAAGCCUGAUCCAGCCAUGCCGCGUGAGUGAUGAAGGCCCUAGGGUUGUAAAGCUCUUUUGUGCGGGAAGAUAAUGACGGUACCGCAAGAAUAAGCCCCGGCUAACUUCGUGCCAGCCGCCGCGGUAA
Molecule: ribosomal RNA, 451 nt
Filed under: uncultured bacterium
Lineage: Bacteria
Description: partial 16S ribosomal RNA
Rfam family: Bacterial small subunit ribosomal RNA
Source: RNAcentral